Molecule: ribosomal RNA, 497 nt
Filed under: uncultured bacterium
Lineage: Bacteria
Description: partial 16S ribosomal RNA
Rfam family: Bacterial small subunit ribosomal RNA
Source: RNAcentral
GAUGAACGCUGGCGGCGUGCCUAAUACAUGCAAGUCGAGCGAACAGACGAGGAGCUUGCGCCUCUCACGUUAGCGGCGCACGGGUGUGAAACACGUGUAUAACCCACCUAUCAUUCUGGGAAAAUUACGGGAAACCGGCGCAAACACCGGAUAAUCUAUUGAACCGUAUGGUUCAUUAGUGAAAGACGGCUUUGGUGGCACUAAUAGCUGGUUCCGCGCCGCAUUAGAUAGUUGUUAGGGUAACGGGUUACCAAGGCAACGAGGCGUAGCCGACCUGAGGGGGUGAUCGGCCACCCUGGAAGUGAGACGCGCACAAGAGGCCUACGGGAGGCAGCAGUAGGGAAUCUUCCGCAGUGGGCGAAAGCCUGACAGAGCAACGGCGCGUGAGUGAUGAAGGUCUUCGGAUCGUAAAGAUCUGUUAUUGGGGAAAAACAAAUGUGUAAGUAGCUGUGCAGGUCUUGACGGUACCUAAUCAGAAAGCCCCGGCUAACUACGUG